GAACUGCGAUAAGUAAUGUGAAUUGCAGAAUUCAGUGAAUCAUCGAGUCUUUGAACGCACAUUGCGCCCCCUGGCAUUCCGGGGGGCAUGCCUGUCCGAGCGUCAUUGCUGCCCUUCAAGCCCGGCUUGUGUGUUGGGUCGUCGUCCCCUCCGGUGGACGGGCCCGAAAGGCAGCGGCGGCACCGCGUCCGGUCCUCGAGCGUAUGGGGCUUUGUCACCCGCUCGAUAAGGACCGGCCGGGCGCCAGCCGGCGUCUCCAACCUUUUUUUCUCAGGUUGACCUCGGAUCAGGUAGGGAUACCCGCUGAACUUAAGC
This 315-nucleotide unclassified non-coding RNA is filed under the name plant metagenome. RNAcentral describes it as "partial contains 5.8S ribosomal RNA, internal transcribed spacer 2, and large subunit ribosomal RNA". The stretch from base 1 to 105 matches the Rfam family "5.8S ribosomal RNA", at positions 50 to 154 of the family's 154-position model. The record is from RNAcentral.